GAUGAACGCUGGCGGCGUGCUUGAUACAUGCAAGUCGAACGCAUCGGCAAAGCCGAGGUGUCCUGGCGGAACCGGAGGGCGAGAAAUCGUUCAAAGGGGACAAAGGGGCAAAGAGGCGGAGCUGGUGAGUGGCGGACGGGUGAGUAACACGUAGGUGAUCUGCCUCAAAGUGGGGGAUAACUGUUCGAAAGGGCAGCUAAUACCGCAUGUGGCCCUUGGGAGACCGAGGAAGAAAGGCGAGAGUCGCUUUGAGAUGAGCCUGCGGCCGAUUAGCUAGUUGGUGAGGUAAAGGCUCACCAAGGCGAAGAUCGGUAGCUGGUCUGAGAGGAUGAUCAGCCACACUGGGAUUGAGAACGGCCCAGACUCCUACGGGAGGCAGCAGUAAGGAAUAUUGCACAAUGGGGGAACCCUGAUGCAGCAACGCCGCGUGGGUGAAGAAGGCUUUCGAGUUGUAAACCUUUUCUGUGGGAUGAGGAAGGACAGUACCACAGGAAC
Molecule: ribosomal RNA, 495 nt
Filed under: uncultured bacterium
Lineage: Bacteria
Description: bacterial SSU rRNA
Rfam family: Bacterial small subunit ribosomal RNA
Source: RNAcentral